Molecule: non-coding RNA, 119 nt
Organism: Macrostomum lignano
Lineage: Eukaryota; Metazoa; Platyhelminthes; Macrostomidae
Source: Rfam
UAACUCUGGUUUCUCUUCAUUCCACGAUUAAAUCUUUCGCCUUUUACUAAAGAUUUCCGUGGAGAGGAACAUUCAAUGAGUGUUCCAUGAUUUGUGAAACCCUCUUCCAAGAAGAGGGU